Molecule: ribosomal RNA, 750 nt
Filed under: uncultured bacterium
Lineage: Bacteria
Description: bacterial SSU rRNA
Rfam family: Bacterial small subunit ribosomal RNA
Source: RNAcentral
AGACUUUGAUUAUGGCUCAGAACGAACGCUGGCGGAAUGCCUAACACAUGCAAGUCGAACGAGACCUUCGGGUCUAGUGGCGCACGGGUGAGUAACGCGUGGGAAUCUGCCUUGGGGUACGGAAUAACUCAGGGAAACUUGAGCUAAUACCGUAUGAUGUCGUGAGACCAAAGAUUUAUCGCCCUGAGAGGAGCCCGCGUCAGAUUAGCUAGUUGGUGGGGUAAUGGCCUACCAAGGCGACGAUCUGUAGCUGGUCUGAGAGGAUGAUCAGCCACACUGGGACUGAGACACGGCCCAGACUCCUACGGGAGGCAGCAGUGGGGAAUAUUGGACAAUGGGCGCAAGCCUGAUCCAGCAAUUCCGCGUGAGCGAACGAAGGCCUUCGGGUUGUAANAGCUCUUUCGGCGGGGACGAUAAUGACGGUACCCGCAGAAGAAGCCCCGGCUAACUCCGUGCCAGCAGCCGCGGUAAUACGGAGGGGGCUAGCGUUGUUCGGAAUCACUGGGCGUAAAGCGCACGUAGGCGGCUACUCAAGUCAGAGGUGAAAGCCUGGGGCUCAACCUCAGAAUUGCCUUUUGAACACUAGGUAGCUUGAAGAUGGGAGAGGUAAGUGGAAUUCCGCAGUGUAGAGGUGAACAUUCGUAGAUAUUCGGAAGAACACCAGUUGGUCGAAGGCGGUUACUGGACCAUUUCUUGACUGCUUGAGGUGUCGAAAUGCGUGGGGAGCCAAACAGGAUUAGAUACCCUGGU